GACGAACGCUGGCGGCGUGCUUAACACAUGCAAGUCGAACGCUGAAGCUCAGCUUGCUGGGUGGAUGAGUGGCGAACGGGUGAGUAACACGUGAGUAACCUGCCCUCUUCUUUGGGAUAACGCCCGGAAACGGGUGCUAAUACUGGAUAUUCACUGAUUCUCGCAAGGGGGUUGGUGGAAAGGUUUUUUCUGGUGGGGGAUGGGCUCGCGGCCUAUCAGCUUGUUGGUGGGGUGAUGGCCUACCAAGGCUUUGACGGGUAGCCGGCCUGAGAGGGUGACCGGUCACAUUGGGACUGAGAUACGGCCCAGACUCCUACGGGAGGCAGCAGUGGGGAAUAUUGCACAAUGGGCGAAAGCCUGAUGCAGCGACGCCGCGUGAGGGAUGGAGGCCUUCGGGUUGUAAACCUCUUUCGCUCAUGGUCAAGCCGCAGCUUUGGGUUGUGGUGAGGGUAGUGGGUAAAGAAGCGCCGGCUAACUACGUG
Molecule: ribosomal RNA, 482 nt
Filed under: uncultured bacterium
Lineage: Bacteria
Description: partial 16S ribosomal RNA
Rfam family: Bacterial small subunit ribosomal RNA
Source: RNAcentral